AAGUCGUAACAAGGUCUCCGUUGGUGAACCAGCGGAGGGAUCAUUAUCGAGUUACACAACUCCCAACCCUAUGUGAACCUUACCUCUGUUGCUUCGGCGGAACCGCCCCGGCGCCAACGGCCCGGAACCAGGCGCCCGCCGGGGGACCCCAACCUUCUGUUGUCACAAGCCUUUCUGAGUGGCGUACGCGCAAAUCAAAUCAAAACUUUCAACAACGGAUCUCUUGGCUCUA
This 232-nucleotide unclassified non-coding RNA is filed under the name fungal sp. Its description in RNAcentral is "partial internal transcribed spacer region". The stretch from base 1 to 46 matches the Rfam family "Eukaryotic small subunit ribosomal RNA", at positions 1786 to 1831 of the family's 1831-position model. Lineage: Eukaryota; Fungi. The record is from RNAcentral.